Long non-coding RNA from Pangasianodon hypophthalmus (striped catfish), 574 nucleotides. RefSeq lists it as uncharacterized. The transcript is spliced from 3 exons. Lineage: Eukaryota; Metazoa; Chordata; Actinopteri; Siluriformes; Pangasiidae. The record is from RefSeq and is a predicted model, not a curated record.
GUCAUUUCCGGUCAGUAGCGGAAGCAGGAAGUAGCGCAAACAAGAUGGGGACUGGGGAUGACAAGAAGGCGGCCGUUUCUUUACCCAGACACUCCUACUGGUUCGACUUUUGGGUUUUUCUGUUGUUCGACAUCGUUUUUUUUCUCUUCGUGUACUUUGUUGUUCCAUAAACGUUUGCAGAACUCCGGGUGUUAUGGAAGGACCGGAGACUGUGGCUCACCUGCAGAAGAGAUGACGACUUUCUGAUUGCUGGGUCCUGCAUCUGUAGCUUCAGCUGAGCUCCUCCUGCUAACCUGUCACCAGAAGACUGAAAGUGCAGCACCAUGUCCCCGCCAAGUCCAGCGCACCGCAGCUUUAAAACAUAUAACUAACAUUCCAUUACAGUCCCUAAUGCCUCCUCCAGAACACUGAUUAACAUGAAAUAAAACCCGCUAAGUUAUUUUUGUAUAAUUCACCUGUUAAUAAUCAGAUAUCUGUGUGCGUAUGUGUGUGUGUGUGAGCAGAGUGAUGAUCAGAAUGAGUGAGUGAUGGAAUUCACUGAAAAGUCAAUAAAAUUCACUAAGCUAUUUUUCAA